UCAGGGAAGCAGAUGGAGAUGUUCCAGUCACCUGAUUUGAACAGAUCACGAAACUUAAGCAAUGCUUUGCCCGUCGCUUCACCAAUCAAACCACAAAAACAAGUGGAGCUUUGGGCGGAUGAGGAAUGGAACCACACAGGAGUUUCAAAAGCUGGGCCAAAGAGGCCAUGAUGGAGCUGAGCUUUGACCCUCACGGACUCUCAGAGCAAACAGUGGACCAGUUCUCCUCUGCAGUGGUGACCGUCUCCUUUUCAGACACAGAAGGCGAGUGGGAUCCGCUGGACGGCCUUGGGGUCCCCAAAGCAAGGGCUGGAGUGCUGGCCCCAUCCAGAAGUACCCACAGUUCGAGAGUAGAUUCGUGGAGAUGUGAUAUUAAACCUUAA
RNAcentral lists this long non-coding RNA (383 nucleotides) under Sus scrofa (pig). RNAcentral's name for it is "lncRNA (ENSSSCG00025026997.1, ENSSSCG00050054616.1)". The record is from RNAcentral. Lineage: Eukaryota; Metazoa; Chordata; Mammalia; Artiodactyla; Suidae.